UGGGGAAUCUUGCACAAUGGGCGAAAGCCUGAUGCAGCGACGCCGCGUGCGGGACGAAGGCCUUCGGGUUGUAAACCGCUUUCAGCAAGGACGAGGCGAAAGUGACGGUACCUGCAGAAGAAGCCCCGGCUAACUACAUGCCACCAGCCGCGGUAAUACGUAGGGGGCAAGCGUUAUCCGGAUUCAUUGGGCGUAAAGCGCUCGUACGCGGUCUGUUACGUCGGGAGUUAAAUCGGGAGGCUCAACCUCCGCCCGCUCCCGAUACCGGCAGACUUGAGUUUGGUAGGGGAAGGUGGAAUUCCUAGUGUAGCGGUGGAAUGCCCAGAUGUUACGAAGAACACCAUUGACGAAUGCGGCCUUCUGGGCCAUAACUGACGCUGACGAGCGAAAGCUAGGGGAGCAAACGCGAUUACAUACCCUGGUAGUCCUAUCUGUAAACGAUGGACACUACGUGUGGGAGAAUACGUCUUCCGUGCCGCAGCUAAUGCAUUAAGUGUCCCGCCUGGGGAGUACGGCCGCAAGGCUA
This 526-nucleotide ribosomal RNA is filed under the name uncultured bacterium. Its description in RNAcentral is "bacterial SSU rRNA". It matches the Rfam family "Bacterial small subunit ribosomal RNA", at positions 355 to 896 of the family's 1533-position model. The record is from RNAcentral.